GUCACUUGUGAGGAGAGACCUGUGCUCUUCCGAUCUCUGUGUUCUGACCAUGUCACCAGGAAGUUGCAACAGAGACGAAAAUAUUAUUUAGGCCAUUCCAGAAUUCUUGAGUAGAGUUUUUUCCCUUUUCUCCACAGACUUGCACUCUGCAGGGUUGCUGUUUGUUUUAUUAUUACAGGUUUAGUGUUCAAAGACAAUGUAACUUAGGAAAGAAUAGGGACCAUAAUAUUUUAUCACAUGGACAAAUAUACCUUAUAAAGGAAACUUAAUCAUGCAGACCUAGCACUUACCAGAGUUAUAUGAACAAAAAGGACUCAUGUAAAACUAUGUAUUUCUUGUUGAAAGAAUCUGGAACUAAGUCUGAAGCAAAUAACAUUCUGGUCCAUACAGGUAAUGAUGAGAGAUUUAUUACUGAAAUCAAUGAGAAGUAAAUGAAAUAUGUCAAUAAAUGUUUUAAUUAAAUAUACUAAAAAAAUCAGGUCAAAAUUAACUAGCUUUUUUUUAACACCUGCAUGAAGUGCAUCUAAAAAAAAAAAAAAAAAGCCCACUUCUGUUGUUUCAAACUGAAAUCUGUUCUGGGAUAAGCACAAAAACUGAGACCAGGGUAUAACCUUAGGGGUCUGAUCUGUGACCUUCUGCCUAAGUUCUUUUAGAUACACGGCAGGCUUAAUUUUGAAGUUGUGAAGUGUUGAGGAUAAUCAAUUCCCUCCCUCCCCCACCCCCCCAAUUUCUUAAAUUUUGUAUGAUUUUGCAUUUCUUUUUACAUUUUAUAAACAUUUGAUUUUUUUUUUCCAUUCAGUGAAAAAUCAGUUUGUUAUAGCUGUUGUUCAUCUAUUUUUAAGAGAAGAGGCUUCACUUGCUGAGGUCAUAUACUAAUUUUUGUACUGUAGUCAGCCCAACAAACAUCUCACUGUAAAUAUGGUUUUAUAUACAUUUCCAAAUAAAGGCUAUAACUAGUGCAAGCUGGUAGGUCACAUUUAGUAAAAGGUUUCUUGUGAAGAAAAUAUCAGAAUAAAUCCAAACAAACCAGGGAAUAAAAUGUAGGCUAAUGCAGAAGUCAUAUUAAGUAUGCUUGGCAAAUUGCGGUAUACAUGGCAGCAACUGCAUGUUAUUCGGAGCUGCUAAAACGGACAGUGAAACAAGCCUGUUGUACAGGUGCUAGAUUUUGAUUUAAUAAAUAGUCUAUACAGUAUCAAACUAUAUAAAAAGUCUAAAAAAACACAAUGAGAAUUAUUGUAUUUGAAAAAACUGUUCUAUAUUGUAAAAAUGUUAAAAUUAGGUCCAAACCACCAUUAAAAAAGGUAUGAAAUGUGCAAUUUUUCAAGUGGCAACAAGGGGCAUGAGAAAGGUUCCAUAAAGGUUAACAAGAGUUGUUUGAUUUCUCCUUGUUUCCCUGGUGAUCACACAUGUCAGAGCAAUCCUUUUCAGGCAAGUAGGACACGAGCUAAAAGUAUCAUCACUGAUUUCAGUAGGGAAGAUUGGCUGCAUAAGGACUAAAAGGCUAUUUUGAGAGAAAUGUACAGUACAGUCUAUUCAUGUAAAUACUUGGAAAACACAGGAACAGAAUUAUUUUCUAACUACAGAGCGGUGAAAUCAGUGUAGCCACAUGGAUUUAUAAUACAUGGCAGAAUCUUUUAGAAUCCUAAGCCUUCUUGAAAGCAAACAGUUUGAAGUCUGCAUCUAGAAUAACAUGGGCGCUUGUGUUUAACCGCAAGCUGCGAGGGUCACAUUCCCAAAUGUACUAAAAUUAAUAAACCUCAAUAUCUUUUAAAAAGGCAGUAACCCCUUACACUUAUUUCUCACAAAGC
Molecule: long non-coding RNA, 1808 nt
Organism: Cygnus olor (mute swan)
Lineage: Eukaryota; Metazoa; Chordata; Aves; Anseriformes; Anatidae
Exons: 4
Source: RefSeq, a predicted model, not a curated record